RNAcentral lists this unclassified non-coding RNA (315 nucleotides) under Tomentella ferruginea. RNAcentral's name for it is "sequence contains 5.8S rRNA gene". Lineage: Eukaryota; Fungi; Basidiomycota; Agaricomycetes; Thelephorales; Thelephoraceae. The record is from RNAcentral.
GAACGCACCUUGCGCCCUUUGGCUAUUCCGAAGGGCAUGCCUGUUUGAGUAUCAUGAACACCUCAACUCUCAUGGUUUGCCAUGAUGAGCUUGGACUUUGGGGGUCUUGCUGGCCUAUGGGUCAGCUCCUCUCAAAUGAAUCAGCUUGCCAGUGUUUGGUGGCAUCACAGGUGUGAUAACUAUCUACGCUUGUGGUUUUCCAUCAGGUAACCUUCAGUGAUGGAGGUUCGCUGGGGCUCAUAAAUGUCUCUCCUCGGUGAGGACAGCUUUUUGAACGUUUGAUCUCAAAUCAGGUAGGACUACCCGCUGAACUUA